GAUGAACGCUGGCGGCGUGCCUAAUACAUGCAAGUCGAGCGAACGGACGAGAAGCUUGCUUCUCUGAUGUUAGCGGCGGACGGGUGAGUAACACGUGGAUAACCUACCUAUAAGACUGGGAUAACUUCGGGAAACCGGAGCUAAUACCGGAUAAUAUUUUGAACCGCAUGGUUCAAAAGUGAAAGACGGUCUUGCUGUCACUUAUAGAUGGAUCCGCGCUGCAUUAGCUAGUUGGUAAGGUAACGGCUUACCAAGGCAACGAUGCAUAGCCGACCUGAGAGGGUGAUCGGCCACACUGGAACUGAGACACGGUCCAGACUCCUACGGGAGGCAGCAGUAGGGAAUCUUCCGCAAUGGGCGAAAGCCUGACGGAGCAACGCCGCGUGAGUGAUGAAGGUCUUCGGAUCGUAAAACUCUGUUAUUAGGGAAGAACAUAUGUGUAAGUAACUGUGCACAUCUUGACGGUACCUAAUCAGAAAGCCACGGCUAACUACGUGCCAGCAGCCGCGGUAAUACGUAGGUGGCAAGCGUUAUCCGGAAUUAUUGGGCGUAAAGCGCGCGUAGGCGGUUUUUUAAGUCUGAUGUGAAAGCCCACGGCUCAACCGUGGAGGGUCAUUGGAAACUGGAAAACUUGAGUGCAGAAGAGGAAAGUGGAAUUCCAUGUGUAGCGGUGAAAUGCGCAGAGAUAUGGAGGAACACCAGUGGCGAAGGCGACUUUCUGGUCUGUAACUGACGCUGAUGUGCGAAAGCGUGGGGAUCGAACAGGAUUAGAUACCCUGGUAGUCCACGCCGUAAACGAUGAGUGCUAAGUGUUAGGGGGUUUCCGCCCCUUAGUGCUGCAGCUAACGCAUUAAGCACUCCGCCUGGGGAGUACGACCGCAAGGUUGAAACUCAAAGGAAUUGACGGGGACCCGCACAAGCGGUGGAGCAUGUGGUUUAAUUCGAAGCAACGCGAAGAACCUUACCAAAUCUUGACAUCCUUUGACAACUCUAGAGAUAGAGCCUUCCCCUUCGGGGGACAAAGUGACAGGUGGUGCAUGGUUGUCGUCAGCUCGUGUCGUGAGAUGUUGGGUUAAGUCCCGCAACGAGCGCAACCCUUAAGCUUAGUUGCCAUCAUUAAGUUGGGCACUCUAAGUUGACUGCCGGUGACAAACCGGAGGAAGGUGGGGAUGACGUCAAAUCAUCAUGCCCCUUAUGAUUUGGGCUACACACGUGCUACAAUGGACAAUACAAAGGGCAGCGAGACCGCGAGGUCAAGCAAAUCCCAUAAAGUUGUUCUCAGUUCGGAUUGUAGUCUGCAACUCGACUACAUGAAGCUGGAAUCGCUAGUAAUCGUAGAUCAGCAUGCUACGGUGAAUACGUUCCCGGGUCU
Molecule: ribosomal RNA, 1372 nt
Filed under: uncultured bacterium
Lineage: Bacteria
Description: bacterial SSU rRNA
Rfam family: Bacterial small subunit ribosomal RNA
Source: RNAcentral